Long non-coding RNA from Perca fluviatilis (European perch), 392 nucleotides. RefSeq lists it as uncharacterized. The record is from RefSeq and is a predicted model, not a curated record. Lineage: Eukaryota; Metazoa; Chordata; Actinopteri; Perciformes; Percidae. The transcript has 3 exons.
UUGUAGUUGCUGCUGAUCUCCACCAGAGGGCGCCAUUACACCAGACACCAGCAGCUGACAGCUGGAACUCACUCACUGAACUUUUAAAGAUGAACACACACGGAGCUCCUCGGUGGAUCCUCCUCAGAGACGGUCCAGUGGUGAGGGACGCUGUCCUGACUCCAGGAGACGCAGGUUCGAUCCCCGCCUCAGCUACGCCACACAGCUUUGUUGGAGGCUUUGACCACUGGCAGCAGCCUCAGAAGAGCCUCCUCUGAAGCAGAGUAUUUCUUCAGGUCAAACACAUCCAGAUCUUUCUGUGAUGACAGUAAGAUGAAGACCAGAGCUGACCACUGAGCAGGAGACAGUUCAUCUGUGGAGAGACGUCCUGAUGUCAGGUACUGUUGGAUCUC